Molecule: ribosomal RNA, 490 nt
Filed under: uncultured bacterium
Lineage: Bacteria
Description: bacterial SSU rRNA
Rfam family: Bacterial small subunit ribosomal RNA
Source: RNAcentral
GAUGAACGCUAGCGGCAGGCCUAAUACAUGCAAGUCAAGGGGAUAGCAAUAUCACCAGCGGACGGGUGCGUAACGCGUACACAACGUGCCCAAGGGCGGAGGAAAGCGGCGGGAAACUGCCGGUAAUACUCCAUGGUGUUGUUGAGUGGCAUCACUUAACAACUAAAGUACAAGCGCCCUUGGAUCGGUGUGCGUUCGAUUAGCUAGUUGGCGGGGUAACGGCCCACCAAGGCUUCGAUCGAUAGGGGGUGUGAGAGCAUGACCCCCCCANACGGGGUACUGAGACACGGACCCGACUCCUACGGGAGGCAGCAGUAAGGAAUAUUGGACAAUGGGCGGAAGCCUGAUCCAGCCAUGCCGCGUGAAAGACGAAGGCGCUCAGCGUUGUAAACUUCUUUUGGAUGGGAACAUAACUCCGACUUGUCGGAACUUGAGGGUACCAUCAGAUAAGCACCGGCUAACUCCGUGCCAGCAGCCGCGGUAAUGUCAC